RNAcentral lists this long non-coding RNA (526 nucleotides) under Nothobranchius furzeri (turquoise killifish). RNAcentral describes it as "lncRNA (ENSNFUG00015000235.1)". The record is from RNAcentral. Lineage: Eukaryota; Metazoa; Chordata; Actinopteri; Cyprinodontiformes; Nothobranchiidae.
AUGAAGCCUGGACUGAACAAGGCCAAGAACAGGUCUGGACUCGGCAGGAGGACACAGACGCGUCAGACCAGAGUCAGCGUCCCUCCUGAGGAGACAUCUGGACAAGCAGUGUUGGGGUUUGGAAUAACUUCGAGAUUAUUUAAUAAACUGAAACUUACAUUAAGUUCAGGCUGCAGCGGCAGAGGAAGCACCAGCAGAGAGCGGAGCAGCAGACCAGCACAGGCGAUCCAAGAGGUGAUCAGUUCAGAUGAACUCCUCUUUGAUCUGUGUCUCUGUGCUGCUAACGCCUCAGCUCUGAGCGUCUAUAAAGGAACGACCGGUUUGUGCUCGACACCAGUGCAGAGCCAGACUGCAGCGCCGCAGAGAAAACAGUUCUGUCGCCAUCAUCGCCGCCACUAUGAUGCUGAGUGUGUCUCUGUGUGUGUGGAUCGUUGUCGCCAUGACUCAGAUAGCUGGUGAGGAUUUCACCUUUCACCUCAGAGGCACUAAAACCACCAAUCACCUGAGGAAAUGCAGAAUAUAUAUA